GAAAAAUUUUUGUUUUUAGUAUACUUAUUAGAAAAGUCUUUUUUAGUAAUAGUUAACUAGUACUGUGAAGGAAUUUUGAAAUAGUUUGAAAAUAUUUAUUUGGUAAAGUAUAUUUUAUUUUUAUUACCUUUUGUAUCAGGGUUAAUCUAAUUUAUUUAAUUUAUUUUUAUUUCUCGAUUUUAUAAGAGCUAAUAAGUUUAAUUUGGUUAUUGUAGCAUAACUAUCAAUAAUAUUUAUUAGGGGAGAAAUUUUAUUCGUUUAUAAGGGUAUCUAGUUUUUUAAGAAAUAAAUUUAAUUUACUUCUAAAAUUUACUUUUUUCUUUUUGAUAAUUUAUUUUUUAGGUUAAAGAAUAUAGGGGAUGAGCUCUAUAUUUUUCUAUAAAUUGUAUUAUUACUAAAUUUAGUAGGACUAGAAUCAUCCAUCUUUAAAUUACGUUAUAGUUUAUUUUAGUUGUUAUUGGAUUUUCUAUCUUUUAGUUUUUUAUUAAAAUAAUUUAUAUAAUUUUAUUAUAAAUGUAAUAAUGAUUAAAUUAGUAUAAUAUUGUUGUCUGUUUUCUAUUAUUAUUUAUAUAUAAUUAAGGAACUCGGCAAAUCUAAUUUUCGCUUGUUUAUCAAAAACAUGUCCUCUUGGUUUUUUAGGAGGUCUAGCCUGCCCAGUGAAGAUUUUAACGGCCGCGGUAUUCUGACCGUGCAAAGGUAGCAUAAUCAUUAGUCUUUUAAUAGAAGGCUGGAAUGAAAGGUUUAACGAAAAAUUAGCUGUCUCAAUUAUAAGUUUGAAUUUAGCUUUUAAGUCAAAAGGCUUAAAUUUUAUUGAUGGACGAGAAGACCCUAUAGAGCUUUACAUUUUAAUUUAAUACAUUUAUUUGGAUUGAUAAUUUGAAUUUAUUUGCUUAAAUGUUUUGUUGGGGUGACAAGAAAUACAUGAUUAACUUUUUUAUUUAAUAAACAUUAAUAUAUGAUUAUUGGAUCCAUUAUUAUUGAUCAUUAGACUAAGUUACCUUAGGGAUAACAGCGUAAUCUUCCUUCAGAGUUCAAAUUUACAGGAAGGCUUGCGACCUCGAUGUUGGAUUAAGAUAAUAAUUAGGUGCAGUAGCUUAAUUAAUAGGUCUGUUCGACCUUUAAAUUCUUACAUGAUCUGAGUUCAGACCGGUUUAAGCCAGGUCGGUUUCUAUCCUCAAUAUUUAUUUAGUUUUUAGUACGAAAGGACCAUUACUAGAAAAUAUUUUUUUAUUUUUUGAUUAUUAUUAGCUAUUUUGGCAGAAAAGUGUCAUGAAUUUAGAAUUCAUU
RNAcentral lists this ribosomal RNA (1287 nucleotides) under Coenagrion johanssoni. RNAcentral describes it as "16S ribosomal RNA". The stretch from base 811 to 1178 matches the Rfam family "Archaeal large subunit ribosomal RNA", at positions 2150 to 2716 of the family's 2987-position model. The record is from RNAcentral. Lineage: Eukaryota; Metazoa; Arthropoda; Insecta; Odonata; Coenagrionidae.